GAUGAACGCUAGCUACAGGCUUAACACAUGCAAGUCGAGGGGAAACGACAUCGAAAGCUUGCUUUUGAUGGGCGUCGACCGGCGCACGGGUGAGUAACGCGUAUCCACCCUGCCCACCACUUGGGGAUAACCUUGCGUAAGUAAGACUAAUACCCAAUGAUAUCUCUAGAAGACAUCUGCAAGAGAUUAAAGAUUUAUCGGUGAUGGAUGGGGAUGCGUCUGAUUAGCUUGUUGGCGGGGUAACGGCCCACCAAGGCUACGAUCAGUAGGGGUUCUGAGAGGAAGGUCCCCCACAUUGGAACUGAGACACGGUCCAAACUCCUACGGGAGGCAGCAGUGAGGAAUAUUGGUCAAUGGACGGGAGUCUGAACCAGCCAAGUAGCGUGCAGGAUGACGGCCCUAUGGGUUGUAAACUGCUUUUAUAAGGGAAUAAAGUGAGUCUCGUGAGACUUUUUGCAUGUGCCUUAUGAAUAAGGACCGGCUAAUUCCGUGCCAGCCGCCGCCGUAA
Molecule: ribosomal RNA, 508 nt
Filed under: uncultured bacterium
Lineage: Bacteria
Description: partial 16S ribosomal RNA
Rfam family: Bacterial small subunit ribosomal RNA
Source: RNAcentral